UACAGAGGGUGCAAGCGUUAAUCGGAAUUACUGGGCGUAAAGCGUGCGUAGUCGGUUAUCUAAGUCAGGUGUGAAAUCCCCGGGCUCAACCUGGGAAUUGCAUUUGAUACUGGAUAGCUAGAGUUCGGCAGAGGGAAGUGGAAUUUCUGGUGUAGCGGUGAAAUGCGUAGAUAUCUGGAGGAACACCGGUGGCGAAGGCGGCAUCCUGGACCGGCAUUGACGCUGAGGCGCGAAAGCCAGGGGAGCAAACGGG
RNAcentral lists this ribosomal RNA (253 nucleotides) under uncultured prokaryote. Its description in RNAcentral is "partial 16S ribosomal RNA". It matches the Rfam family "Bacterial small subunit ribosomal RNA", at positions 524 to 776 of the family's 1533-position model. The record is from RNAcentral.